GAAUUCAACUCCUACGGGAGGCAGCAGUGGGGAAUUUUGGACAAUGGGGGCAACCCUGAUCCAGCAAUGCCGCGUGAGUGAAGAAGGCCUUCGGGUUGUAAAGCUCUUUUGUGCGGGAAGAUAAUGACGGUACCGCAAGAAUAAGCCCCGGCUAACUUCGUGCCAGCAGCCGCGGUAAUACGAAGGGGGCUAGCGUUGCUCGGAAUCACUGGGCGUAAAGGGUGCGUAGGCGGGUCUUUAAGUCAGGGGUGAAAUCUUGGAGCUCAACUCCAGAACAGCCUUUGAUACUGAAGAACUUGAGUUCGGGAGAGGUGAGUGGAACUGCGAGUGUAGAGGUGAAAUUCGUAGAUAUUCGCAGGAACACCAGUGGCGAAGGCGGCUCACUGGCCCGAUACUGACGCUGAGGCACGAAAGCGUGGGGAGCAAACAGGAUUAGAUACCCGAGUAGUCCAGGCGUU
This 458-nucleotide ribosomal RNA is filed under the name uncultured bacterium. RNAcentral's name for it is "bacterial SSU rRNA". It matches the Rfam family "Bacterial small subunit ribosomal RNA", at positions 328 to 803 of the family's 1533-position model. The record is from RNAcentral.